UAUGUUGUGGACUAACAGGUAAGUCAUAAAUUUUUGAUAUUUACUAUUAAGUGUUCGAAUCACUUCAACAUAA
This is a non-coding RNA of Triticum urartu, 73 nucleotides long. The record is from Rfam. NCBI's taxonomy places the organism in Eukaryota, Viridiplantae, Streptophyta, Magnoliopsida, Poales, Poaceae.